This 1014-nucleotide long non-coding RNA is filed under the name Zonotrichia albicollis (white-throated sparrow). RNAcentral's name for it is "lncRNA (ENSZALG00000006244.1)". The record is from RNAcentral. Lineage: Eukaryota; Metazoa; Chordata; Aves; Passeriformes; Passerellidae.
CCCCCCGUCCUCUCUUGCAGACGUGCAGCCACGUGUCCGUGGUGGAGAGGGACGUGGUGCUGCUGGAUCUCCGAUGACCCUCCUGCCCUGUGCCCUCUCAGGCCCUGCCAGGGACUCUGCCUCUCCUGUAGCAGCUGAUUCCUUCCCUCCAUGCUGUGAUCCCUCCCUGGAGCCCCUGGACCCUCCGUGCCUGCUCCAGGCGUGGGCAGAGGCCAGCUGGGAGCCCAGAGACAGAAGCCAACACUAAAGCAGUUGUUUAACUCCACCCCACGGCCUCCUGGGGAGGUUCUUUGGGACCUGCUGCAGCCCUGAGGUGUGGAAACCUCUCCAGGUGCUUUUGGGACUUGCCCACUUUAACUCUGCCCUGUUCUGUCCCAUUCUGGGCUGCUGGAGCAGAUAAACCUUUCCCAUGGUUCAAACCCAAACCUUGCUGAGCCUUCUGAGCCCCUCACCAGCUCAGGGCUGCUGGGGGUACCUGUGUGUCUGUCUGGGGAGGGGAGAGGGCCCAGGGCAUCCUUUGGGAUCCCUCUGGCAGCGUCUCAGGGCUGGAAAUCCUGAGAUUUGCACCCCAGAUGUGUUUGGGGGUGUCUGGGCACUCAUCCCUUUUCCUGACCUGGUGUUACUGUGGAGGAGCUCGGUCUGGCUGCCACCACUGCUCCAGGAUGGGAUUCCAGCAGCUUUGACCACUCCAGGAUGGGAUUCCAGCAGCUUUGGCCACUUCUGUCCCAAUCCAAGCUGGGAUUUCCAACAGCUUUCACCACUCCCAUCCCACUCCAAGAUGGAAUUUCCAGCAGCUUUGGCCACUUCCCUGCUCCCAGGGGGAGGGAAUCAUUCCAAGGUGCCAGGCAGCUGUUCCAGGCGUGCUGUUGUCCCCAGCAGGAUGGGAUGGGAUGAUGGGAUGGGAUGGGAUAAUGGGAUGGGAUAAUGGGAUGGGAUAAUGGGAUGGGAUGGGAUGUUCAGCACAUGGGGAAGGGGCUGGAGCCCCCCUCCCUCUGCCAUGCAGACAUUUGUGUC